GGAUGUGAAGGCAGUCUGGUUGUGACAUCUGUCACCCCAUUUGGUCACCAGGCAGGGUUGAUUUGGCUAAUCUGGCUAGCUAGGCAGGCGUCUCCUUCCUCCCUUACCAUUCCAUGCAUCUUUCCUAAAGCUGUAUGGUCAAAGAGAACAACCUUCUCCAAUAGAAGAGGACCAGUCUCAGCCAAGGGUAUACCAGUAACUGUGCUCCUCUGCUGGAACUUCCCAAGAAGCUCUCCAGAUUUACUCAUCCUACAAGCUUGAACUCAUUCUGUAGAUUCUGUAAAUUUGUCCCUGACUUGCUCAGGUAGAAUU
This 312-nucleotide small nuclear RNA is filed under the name Castor canadensis (American beaver). RNAcentral describes it as "7SK RNA (ENSCCNG00000002334.1)". It matches the Rfam family "7SK RNA". Rfam says of the family: 7SK was discovered as an abundant small nuclear RNA in the mid-70s but a possible function has only recently been suggested. The record is from Rfam by way of RNAcentral. Lineage: Eukaryota; Metazoa; Chordata; Mammalia; Rodentia; Castoridae.